GACGAACGCUGGCGGCGUGCUUAACACAUGCAAGUCGAACGGAAAGGCCCUACUUUCCUGGUACUCUCGUUGGGCGCGGGUGUGUGACACACGUGUGUUAUCCCCCGCACUUCGUGUUAAACCUUUGAGACACUGUCUAUUAUCCCAGAGAUGCACUUUUUAUUGUGAUGUUUUUAAAGUGUUUUCGGUGUAGGAUGAGAUCUCGCCCUAUCAGCUUGUUGGUGGGGUAAUGGGCUAUCAAGGCGGCGACGGGUAGCCGGCCUGAGAGGGUGGACGGCCACAUUGGGACUGAGAUACGGCCCAGACUCCUACGGGAGGCAGAAGUGGGGAAUAUUGCACAAUGGGCGGAAGCCUGAUGAAGCGACGCCGCGUGGGGGAUGACGGCCUUCGGGUUGUAAAAUCCUUUCGCUAGGGACGAAGCUUUUUGUGACGGUACCUAGAUAAGAAGCACCGGCUAACUACGUG
Molecule: ribosomal RNA, 465 nt
Filed under: uncultured bacterium
Lineage: Bacteria
Description: partial 16S ribosomal RNA
Rfam family: Bacterial small subunit ribosomal RNA
Source: RNAcentral